UUGUAUUAUUAAAUUUAAAAAGCCAAUUGAAAGAUAGAUAGAUAGAUAGAUAGAUAGAUAGAUAGAUAGAUAGAUAGAUAGAUAGAUAGAUAUAAUUCCAACUAUGUAACUUUCUGGAAAAGACAAAACUGUAGAACAAAUCAGUAAUUGCCAGAGGGUGUGGAAGAAGCAAGGAUGAACUGGCCAAGCACAGAGGACUUUCAGAGCAAGGAAUCUACCUCUAUAAUGCUUGGCUCUCCAUGUGGAGACACCUGGCAGGCUUAGACCAUCAGCUUCAAGUCCAACAGAAAGGAAGCUCAAGUCUGACUUCCAAGAGGAAGCACUGUAACUGAAUAUGUGUCCAUCCUUGAUUGGCGGCCAGGAGAAUGGAAGCACUACAGGCCGGAGAAGUUCCCAUCCAUGAUUGACUGGCUCCAUUGUUCUGGGCCUGAGAUGGAGCAGAACAUCACAGCAGAAGUAUGGGAAGAAGGAAGCCACUCACAACAUGGCAGGCAGGAAGCAGAGAGAGACAAAGUGAGGAAGUGACAGGACAUAGUCUUCUAGAGCACAUGUCUGUAUUUCCUCCAACUAGAUACCAC
Molecule: non-coding RNA, 578 nt
Organism: Heterocephalus glaber (naked mole-rat)
Lineage: Eukaryota; Metazoa; Chordata; Mammalia; Rodentia; Bathyergidae
Source: RefSeq, a predicted model, not a curated record